ACCCAUAUGGUCCAAUGGUUAUGACGCUGCCCUUUCAAGGCGGAAGUGAGGGUUCGAUUCCCUCUAUGGGUA
This 72-nucleotide transfer RNA is filed under the name Tupanvirus deep ocean. RNAcentral's name for it is "tRNA-Glu". It matches the Rfam family "tRNA". From Rfam's summary of the family: Transfer RNA (tRNA) molecules are approximately 80 nucleotides in length. The record is from RNAcentral. Lineage: Varidnaviria; Bamfordvirae; Nucleocytoviricota; Megaviricetes; Imitervirales; Mimiviridae. RNAcentral also lists the same sequence under 1 other name.